UGGGUAACCUGCCUGUAAGACUGGGAUAACUCCGGGAAACCGGGGCUAAUACCGGAUAGUUCUUUUCCUCGCAUGAGGAAAAGUGGAAAGGCGGCUUCGGCUGCCACUUACAGAUGGACCCGCGGCGCAUUAGCUAGUUGGUGAGGUAACGGCUCACCAAGGCAACGAUGCGUAGCCGACCUGAGAGGGUGAUCGGCCACACUGGGACUGAGACACGGCCCAGACUCCUACGGGAGGCAGCAGUAGGGAAUCUUCCGCAAUGGACGAAAGUCUGACGGAGCAACGCCGCGUGAGUGAUGAAGGUUUUCGGAUCGUAAAGCUCUGUUGUUAGGGAAGAACAAGUGCCGUUCGAAUAGGGCGGCACCUUGACGGUACCUAACCAGAAAGCCACGGCUAACUACGUGCCAGCAGCCGCGGUAAUACGUAGGUGGCAAGCGUUGUCCGGAAUUAUUGGGCGUAAAGCGCGCGCAGGCGGUCUCUUAAGUCUGAUGUGAAAGCCCACGGCUCAACCGUGGAGGGUCAUUGGAAACUGGGGGACUUGAGUACAGAAGAGGAAAGUGGAAUUCCACGUGUAGCGGUGAAAUGCGUAGAUAUGUGGAGGAACACCAGUGGCGAAAGCGACUUUCUGGUCUGUAACUGACGCUGAGGCG
Molecule: ribosomal RNA, 650 nt
Filed under: Alkalihalobacillus alcalophilus
Lineage: Bacteria; Bacillati; Bacillota; Bacilli; Caryophanales; Bacillaceae
Description: bacterial SSU rRNA
Rfam family: Bacterial small subunit ribosomal RNA
Source: RNAcentral